This 468-nucleotide ribosomal RNA is filed under the name uncultured bacterium. RNAcentral describes it as "partial 16S ribosomal RNA". It matches the Rfam family "Bacterial small subunit ribosomal RNA", at positions 28 to 507 of the family's 1533-position model. The record is from RNAcentral.
GACGAACGCUGGCGGCGUGCUUAACACAUGCAAGUCGAACGGAAAGGCCCUGCUUUUGUGGGGUGCUCGAGUGGCGAACGGGUGAGUAACACGUGAGUAACCUGCCCUUGACUUUGGGAUAACUUCAGGAAACUGGGGCUAAUACCGGAUAGGAGCUCCUGCUGCAUGGUGGGGGUUGGAAAGUUUCGGCGGUUGGGGAUGGACUCGCGGCUUAUCAGCUUGUUGGUGGGGUAGUGGCUUACCAAGGCGUUGACGGGUAGCCGGCCUGAGAGGGUGACCGGCCACAUUGGGACUGAGAUGCGGCACAGACUCCUACGGGAGGCAGCAGUGGGGAAUAUUGCACAAUGGGCGGAGGCCUGAUGCAGCAACGCCGCGUGCGGGAUGACGGCCUUCGGGUUGUAAACCGCUUUCGCCUGUGACGAAGCGUGAGUGAUGGUAAUGGGUAAAGAAGCACCGGCUAACUACGUG